RNAcentral lists this ribosomal RNA (497 nucleotides) under uncultured bacterium. RNAcentral describes it as "partial 16S ribosomal RNA". It matches the Rfam family "Bacterial small subunit ribosomal RNA", at positions 28 to 507 of the family's 1533-position model. The record is from RNAcentral.
GAUGAACGCUGGCGGCGUGCCUAAUACAUGCAAGUCGAGCGAACAGAUGAGGAGCUUGCUCCUCUGACGUUAGCGGCGGACGGGUGAGUAACACGUGGGUAACCUACCUAUAAGACUGGGAUAACUUCGGGAAACCGGAGCUAAUACCGGAUAAUAUAUUGAACCGCAUGGUUCAAUAGUGAAAGACGGUUUUGCUGUCACUUAUAGAUGGAUCCGCGCCGCAUUAGCUAGUUGGUAAGGUAACGGCUUACCAAGGCAACGAUGCGUAGCCGACCUGAGAGGGUGAUCGGCCACGCUGGAACUGAGACACGGUCCAGACUCCUACGGGAGGCAGCAGUAGGGAAUCUUCCGCAAUGGGCGAAAGCCUGACGGAGCAACGCCGCGUGAGUGAUGAAGGUCUUCGGAUCGUAAAACUCUGUUAUUAGGGAAGAACAAAUGUGUAAGUAACUAUGCACGUCUUGACGGUACCUAAUCAGAAAGCCACGGCUAACUACGUG